UGGACCAAACAAUUCUUUAAGUUGUC
This 26-nucleotide non-coding RNA is filed under the name Rattus norvegicus (Norway rat). The record is from RNAcentral. Lineage: Eukaryota; Metazoa; Chordata; Mammalia; Rodentia; Muridae.